UACGUAGGGCGCAAGCGUUGUCCGGAAUUAUUGGGCGUAAAGAGCUCGUAGGUGGUUUGUUACGUCUGCUGUGAAAACCUAGGGCUUAACCCUGGGCCUGCAGUGGAUACGGGCAGGCUAGAGUUCGGUAGGGGAGACUGGAAUUCCUGGUGUAGCGGUGAAAUGCGCAGAUAUCAGGAGGAACACCGGUGGCGAAGGCGGGUCUCUGGGCCGAUACUGACGCUGAGGAGCGAAAGCGUGGGGAGCGAACAGG
RNAcentral lists this ribosomal RNA (253 nucleotides) under uncultured bacterium. Its description in RNAcentral is "partial 16S ribosomal RNA". It matches the Rfam family "Bacterial small subunit ribosomal RNA", at positions 524 to 776 of the family's 1533-position model. The record is from RNAcentral.